RNAcentral lists this transfer RNA (69 nucleotides) under Frigoribacterium sp. CG_9.8. RNAcentral describes it as "tRNA-OTHER". Lineage: Bacteria; Bacillati; Actinomycetota; Actinomycetes; Micrococcales; Microbacteriaceae. The record is from RNAcentral.
ACUUCAAUUUGUCCGCUAAGCCCACUCGUAAUGAGAAGGUCGUCAGUUCGAUUCUGACAGGCGGCUCCA